RNAcentral lists this ribosomal RNA (508 nucleotides) under uncultured bacterium. Its description in RNAcentral is "bacterial SSU rRNA". It matches the Rfam family "Bacterial small subunit ribosomal RNA", at positions 777 to 1277 of the family's 1533-position model. The record is from RNAcentral.
AAUAGAUACCCUGGUAGUCCACGCCCUAAACGAUGCGCACUAGAUCCAGGAGGCUCUGACGCCAUCUGGAUCGAAGCAAAAGUGCAAGUGCGCCGCCUGGGGAGUACGGUCGCAAGGCUAAAACUCAAAGGAAUUGACGGGGGCUCACACAAGCGGUGGAGCAUGUGGCUUAAUUCGAAGCAACGCGAAGAACCUUAUCCAAGACUUGACAUGUACGGAUUAGCUCGAUGAAAGUCGAGUGACGCGGUUUCCGUGGAACGUACACAGGUGCUGCAUGGCUGUCGUCAGCUCGUGCUGUGAAGUGUCGGGUUAAGUCCCUUAACGAGCGAAACCCCUAUCACUAGUUGCUACCAGGUUAUGCUGAGGACUCUAGUGAGACUGCCGGUGUCAAACCGGAGGAAGGUGGGGAUGACGUCAAGUCCUCAUGGCCUUUAUGUCUUGGGCUGCACACGUGCUACAAUGGCAAUUACAAAGCGACGCAAGGCCGCAAGGCGGAGCAAAAUCGCAA